RNAcentral lists this ribosomal RNA (192 nucleotides) under Salmonella enterica subsp. enterica. RNAcentral describes it as "partial 23S ribosomal RNA". It matches the Rfam family "Bacterial large subunit ribosomal RNA", at positions 1 to 184 of the family's 2925-position model. Lineage: Bacteria; Pseudomonadati; Pseudomonadota; Gammaproteobacteria; Enterobacterales; Enterobacteriaceae. The record is from RNAcentral.
GGGUUGUGAGGUUAAGCGACUAAGCGUACACGGUGGAUGCCCUGGCAGUCAGAGGCGAUGAAGGGCGUGCUAAUCUGCGAUAAGCGCCGGUAAGGUGAUAUGAACCGUUAUAACCGGCGAUUUCCGAAUGGGGAAACCCAGUGUGACUCGUCACACUAUCAUUAACUGAAUCCAUAGGUUAAUGAGGCGAAC